GACGAACGCUGGCGGCGUGCUUAACACAUGCAAGUCGAACGGAAAGGCCCUGCUUUUGUGGGGUGCUCGAGUGGCGAACGGGUGAGUAACACGUGAGUAACCUGCCCUUGACUUUGGGAUAACUUCAGGAAACUGGGGCUCAUACCGGAUAGGAGCUCCUGCUGCAUGGUGGGGGUUGGAAAGUUUCGGCGGUUGGGGAUGGACUCGCGGCUUAUCAGCUUGUUGGUGGGGUAGUGGCUUACCAAGGCUUUGACGGGUAGCCGGCCUGAGAGGGUGACCGGCCACAUUGGGACUGAGAGACGGCCCAGACUCCUACGGGAGGCAGCAGUGGGGAAUAUUGCACAAUGGGCGGAAGCCUGAUGCAGCAACGCCGCGUGCGGGAUGACGGCUUUCGGGUUGUAAACCGCUUUCGCCUGUGACGAAGCGUGAGUGACGGUAAUGGGUAAAGAAGCACCGGCUAACUACGUG
This 468-nucleotide ribosomal RNA is filed under the name uncultured bacterium. RNAcentral describes it as "partial 16S ribosomal RNA". It matches the Rfam family "Bacterial small subunit ribosomal RNA", at positions 28 to 507 of the family's 1533-position model. The record is from RNAcentral.